CGAGUCGUGCGGACGGUCGCGUCGGGGCAUGUCCCCGCCGAGGAACGUCCGGGCUCCACAGGGCAAGGUGGUGGCUAACGGCCACCCGGGGCGACCCGCGAGACAGUGCCACAGAAAACAGACCGCCGGGGCCGAGAGGCACCCGGUAAGGGUGAAACGGUGGUGUAAGAGACCACCAGCGCCCAGGGUGACCUGGGCGGCUCGGUAAACCUCACCUGGAGCAAGGUCAAGAGGGGGCGCGACCUGAGAGGGCCGCGGCCCUGCGCGGAUGUUCGAGGGCUGCUCGCCCGAGUCCGCGGGUAGACCGCUGGAGGCUGUCGGCAACGGCAGCCCUAGAUGGAUGACCGUCACCCCGAUGGCCGCGAGGCCCCGGGGUACAGAACCCGGCGUACAGCCGACUCGUCUG
This 406-nucleotide RNase P RNA is filed under the name Streptomyces spiramenti. Its description in RNAcentral is "Streptomyces sp. ventii RNase P RNA component class A". It matches the Rfam family "Bacterial RNase P class A". From Rfam's summary of the family: Ribonuclease P (RNase P) is a ubiquitous endoribonuclease, found in archaea, bacteria and eukarya as well as chloroplasts and mitochondria. Its best characterised activity is the generation of mature 5'-ends of tRNAs by cleaving the 5'-leader elements of precursor-tRNAs. Lineage: Bacteria; Bacillati; Actinomycetota; Actinomycetes; Kitasatosporales; Streptomycetaceae. The record is from RNAcentral.